RNAcentral lists this long non-coding RNA (1607 nucleotides) under Brassica napus (rape). RNAcentral describes it as "long non-coding RNA (BNAP_LNC020365)". The record is from RNAcentral. Lineage: Eukaryota; Viridiplantae; Streptophyta; Magnoliopsida; Brassicales; Brassicaceae.
GUAGCAGUAACAUUGGAGUAGUCUCUGCCAUCGAGAACUCUUGCAUCAGCGAAACCCAUUAUCCGAUUCGGAUCAGAUGGGUGGUGAUGGAAAAUCAUUGAGAAUGCUAGUAGCACAGAGAAGAGUAUCAAGCAAGUGGUGAAGGUUCUGGUGAGCUUCAUCGUACCAAAGCUUAGAAACUUCAUCGGAAGUAGUUCGGAGGAAGUGACGGGAUUUGAACCGCCGGUGGUGGUGCUGAUCGGAGACGGUUUCCUCCUGUAAGGAUUCUGAUCCAUAGAUGAUUGGUCUUGGCGAAGUCAGUCACCGACUUCAUUUACUUUAUUCAGACGUGUCUUCAUUACUUUAUUUCUUAUUCAGACAUGGCUCCACGACAGUUUUUAAUUGAAAACAAUUAAAAAAAAAUUCAACUGAGUGUCCAAUAACUUUUAGAUUACUUCUUUUUAACCGAAAACUUUGUAAUGUUUUGUUUUAACCCUGGUGUAACCAUUUUUACUUCUUGUGGGUUUGUAAUUUGUUUCAUGAAUCCUUUAGGCUCCUCUUUGUUCAUUAGAAGAUAGCAUGUCGUGAUAUUUGAAAAGAAGAAAAGUAAUGGGCUUAUUUAAAGCAUUUAAGUUUAAUUAAUAAGAUAACUACAUUUUGACUGGCGCUUAGAAAACGUGGAUUUGUUUGUUUUUCAUUUAUUAAUCAAAAACUGAUUUACAAAUUACCAAUAUUUUUCUUUCAAACCAUAACAAUUGAGUUUUUGAGUUUUUAUCAUUUGUUUUUUUCUCUCUUCAAAAUAUAGUAUUUGUUCGAAAUAUGGUAGUUGUUCUAUAAUAAUGUUUGAGUUUUAAGAUUUGUUUUCAUAUCUGACCUAGAUUCAUGGUUGAACCUAUAGACCUGAUACAUUGUAUAUAAUCCGGUUUGGAUUUAAUGAAAAAUUUGUUAGUUAAAAAUCCGAUAUAACCCGGUAAAAACCCAAAAACUCACUAUUAACCUGCGAUCUGAUACCAUUGAUCCGAUUACAAAAUAUCUUAUAGUACUUUUUUAAAAAAUUGAUUAAAUUAUUCAUAUAUUUUUUUAAUAUUACAUAAAUUAGUGAUUCCUUAGAAUUUGAUAAAAUUUUAUUAUGUUAUCCAAAUAAAAAAUGAAAAUAUAAAAAAAACUUAUUGAUAUGACAAUAUUAGUUUAUUUUUGUUAUUAAUAACCUAUUAUAAGUUUGUAUUUUUAUUUUAGAUUUAAAAAUUGAUUUUAAGAUAAUUUUUAAAAUAUCGAUCUUUUGGGACAGAAGUGUAUAGGCAAAUGCAGUAAAGAUCUAAACUUUGACUUACCGUUGGUAGCAGUAACAUUGGAGUAGUCUCUGCCAUCGAGAACUCUUGCAUCAGCGAAACCCAUUAUCCGAUUCGGAUCAGAUGGGUGGUGAUGGAAAAUCAUUGAGAAUGCUAGUAGCACAGAGAAGAGUAUCAAGCAAGUGGUGAAGGUUCUGGUGAGCUUCAUCGUACCAAAGCUUAGAAACUUCAUCGGAAGUAGUUCGGAGGAAGUGACGGGAUUUGAACCGCCGGUGGUGGUGCUGAUCGGAGACGGUUUCCUCCUGUAAGGAUUCUGAUCCAUAGAUGAUUGGUCUUGGC